GGGGUAAUGGCUUAGUGGCAAAACAUCUGUUUGGCAUGCAGAAGUUCCCCAGUUCAACCCCAGGCAUCUCCA
Molecule: transfer RNA, 72 nt
Filed under: Sphaerodactylus townsendi
Lineage: Eukaryota; Metazoa; Chordata; Lepidosauria; Squamata; Sphaerodactylidae
Description: tRNA-Ala
Source: RNAcentral